GACAGAGGUGCCAAGCGUUAGGCGGAAUCACUGGGCUUAAAGCGUGUGUAGGUGGAUUUGUAAGUACCUUGUGAAAUCCCAUGGCUCAACCAUGGAACUGCUCGGUAUACUGCGAAUCUUGAGCCACUUAGGGGCUACCGGAACAAAUGGUGGAGCGGUGAAAUGCGUAGAUAUCAUUUGGAACGCCAAUGGUGAAAACAGGUAGCUGGGAGUGUGCUGACACUGAGACACGAAAGCCAGGGGAGCGAACGGG
Molecule: ribosomal RNA, 253 nt
Filed under: Tepidisphaera sp.
Lineage: Bacteria; Pseudomonadati; Planctomycetota; Phycisphaerae; Tepidisphaerales; Tepidisphaeraceae
Also listed under: 1 other name
Description: partial 16S ribosomal RNA
Rfam family: Bacterial small subunit ribosomal RNA
Source: RNAcentral